RNAcentral lists this ribosomal RNA (254 nucleotides) under uncultured bacterium. Its description in RNAcentral is "partial 16S ribosomal RNA". It matches the Rfam family "Bacterial small subunit ribosomal RNA", at positions 524 to 776 of the family's 1533-position model. The record is from RNAcentral.
UACGGAGGGGGCUAGCGUUGUUCGGAUUUACUGGGCGUAAAGGGCGCGUAGGCGGCCAGCACAAGUCAGUUGUGAAAUCUCCGAGCUUAACUCGGAAAGGUCAACUGAUACUGUGCGGCUAGAGUGCAGAAGGGGCAACUGGAAUUCUUGGUGUAGCGGUGAAAUGCGUAGAUAUCAAGAGGAACACCUGCGGCGAAGGCGGGUUGCUGGGCUGACACUGACGCUGAGGCGCGAAAGCUAGGGGAGCGAACGGG